AGUUUGAUCCUGGCUCAGGAUUAACGCUGGCGGUAUGCCUAACACAUGCAAGUACGAACGGAAUACUAAUUAAGAGAAUCUCACACUAGUGAGAGGUUCUCACGAGUAGUAUUUAGUGGCGGACGGGUGAGUAACACGUUGGAACCUGCCCCGAAGUGGGGAAUAACUGCUCGAAAGAGUAGCUAAUACCCCAUAGUAUCCGGUUUAUCCGGAUUAAAGAUUUAUCGCUUCGGGAGGGGCCUGCGUCUGAUUAGCUAGUUGGUGAGGUAAAAGCUCACCAAGGCGACGAUCAGUAGCUGGUUCGAGAGGAUGACCAGCCACACUGGGACUGAGAUACGGCCCAGACUCCUACGGGAGGCAGCAGUGAGGAAUCUUCCACAAUGGGCGCAAGCCUGAUGGAGCAAUACCGCGUGCAGGAAGACGCUUUUCGGAGUGUAAACUGCUUUUGUCGUCGAAGAUUAUGACUGUAGACGAAGAAUAAGGACCGGCUAACUACGUG
This 499-nucleotide ribosomal RNA is filed under the name uncultured bacterium. Its description in RNAcentral is "bacterial SSU rRNA". It matches the Rfam family "Bacterial small subunit ribosomal RNA", at positions 10 to 507 of the family's 1533-position model. The record is from RNAcentral.